AUCCUGGCUCAGGAUGAACGCUAGCUACAGGCUUAACACAUGCAAGUCGAGGGGCAGCAUAACGAUAGCUUGCUAUUGUUGAUGGCGACCGGCGCACGGGUGAGUAACGCGUAUCCAACCUGCCCUUGUCCAUCGGAUAACCCGUCGAAAGGCGAACUAACACGAUAUGCAGUUCACAGCAGGCAUCUAACGUGAACGAAAUGUGAAGGAAAAGGAUGGGGAUGCGUCUGAUUAGCUUGUUGGCGGGGUAACGGCCCACCAAGGCGACGAUCAGUAGGGGUUCUGAGAGGAAGGUCCCCCACAUUGGAACUGAGACACGGUCCAAACUCCUACGGGAGGCAGCAGUGAGGAAUAUUGGUCAAUGGACGAGAGUCUGAACCAGCCAAGUAGCGUGCAGGACGACGGCCCUAUGGGUUGUAAACUGCUUUUAUAAGGGAAUAAAGUGAGCUACGUGUAGCUUUUUGCAUGUACCUUAUGAAUAAGGACCGGCUAAUUCCGUG
Molecule: ribosomal RNA, 500 nt
Filed under: uncultured bacterium
Lineage: Bacteria
Description: bacterial SSU rRNA
Rfam family: Bacterial small subunit ribosomal RNA
Source: RNAcentral